GACGAACGCUGGCGGCGUGCUUAACACAUACAAGUCGAACGGAAAUGCCCUGCUUUUGUGGGGUUCUCGAGUGGCGAACGGGUGCGUAACACGUGAGUAACCUGCCCUUGACUUUGGGAUAACUUCAGGAAACUGGGGCUAAUACCGGAUAGGAGCUCCUGCUGCAUGGUGGGGGUUGGAAAGUUUCGGCGGUUGGGGAUGGACUCGCGGCUUAUCAGCUUGUUGGUGGGGUAGUGGCUUACCAAGGCUUUGACGGGUAGCCGGCCUGAGAGGGUGACCGGCCACAUUGGGACUGAGAUACGGCCCAGACUCCUACGGGAGGCAGCAGUGGGGAAUAUUGCACAAUGGGCGGAAGCCUGAUGCAGCAACGCCGCGUGCGGGAUGACGGCCUUCGGGUUGUAAACCGCUUUCGCCUGUGACGAAGCGUGAGUGACGGUAAUGGGUAAAGAAGCACCGGCUAACUACGUG
Molecule: ribosomal RNA, 468 nt
Filed under: uncultured bacterium
Lineage: Bacteria
Description: partial 16S ribosomal RNA
Rfam family: Bacterial small subunit ribosomal RNA
Source: RNAcentral